GAUGAACGCUGGCGGCGUGCCUAAUACAUGCAAGUCGAGCGAACAGACGAGGAGCUUGCUCCUCUGACGUUAGCGGCGGACGGCUGAGUAACACGUGGAUAACCUACCUAUAAGACUGGGAUAACUUCGGGAAACCGGAGCUAAUACCGGAUAAUAUAUUGAACCGCAUGGUUCAAUAGUGAAAGACGGUUUUGCUGUCACUUAUAGAUGGAUCCGCGCCGCAUUAGCUAGUUGGUAAGGUAACGGCUUACCAAGGCAACGAUGCGUAGCCGACCUGAGAGGGUGAUCGGCCACACUGGAACUGAGACACGGUCCAGACUCCUACGGGAGGCAGCAGUAGGGAAUCUUCCGCAAUGGGCGAAAGCCUGACGGAGCAACGCCGCGUGAGUGAUGAAGGUCUUCGGAUCGUAAAACUCUGUUAUUAGGGAAGAACAAAUGUGUAAGUAACUAUGCACGUCUUGACGGUACCUAAUCAGAAAGCCACGGCUAACUACGUG
Molecule: ribosomal RNA, 497 nt
Filed under: uncultured bacterium
Lineage: Bacteria
Description: partial 16S ribosomal RNA
Rfam family: Bacterial small subunit ribosomal RNA
Source: RNAcentral